GGGCGAUUAGUUCAGUUGGUCAGAACGCCUCGCUUACACCGAGGAGGUCGGCCGUUCGAGUCGGCCAUCGCCCA
Molecule: transfer RNA, 74 nt
Filed under: Planctomycetota bacterium
Lineage: Bacteria; Pseudomonadati; Planctomycetota
Description: Planctomycetes bacterium (hot springs metagenome) tRNA-Val
Rfam family: tRNA
About the family: Transfer RNA (tRNA) molecules are approximately 80 nucleotides in length. Their secondary structure includes four short double-helical elements and three loops (D, anti-codon, and T loops).
Source: RNAcentral